CCACUGUGUGUUCUGCUUGUCCCAGUAACUUUCAUCCUAUGGUCUCUGCAUGCUGUUAUUUUAGGUGUAUCCUUUACCAUUAUCUUCGGAGCGCUUGGCAGCUGCCCCAGCCCUGCCCGCACCUGGGAGGCUUCUGCGUUCACACACCUUCCAGCUGUGCGAGCUUUCAAACACCUUUGAAUGGGCAGAAGCGGGUCUGUCCCUGAAGGCAGCUUUCUUCGUUGGCCGUCCUGGUUAUCAUGUGGGAGACAAGAUCACCAUCAGAAUUCAGGUUGAAUGCUUCCUUGUGAUGGGGUAAGAGUUCGGGUUUCACCUGAUUAACAGCAUUAACUGGUGUAUUUUCCCCAUACAAUAUCAAGUGUUGCAGGUGUUCUUUUGUAUCAACCAUGAUGUGAAGAUCUCUGCGAGGAGAAGAUUACGGGACUUUGCAGUCUCACUGUAGAAGCAGGAUAAUUGUUUAGAGUUUGUUAUGACUCUGCUAAGUUGUUG
RNAcentral lists this long non-coding RNA (489 nucleotides) under Apteryx owenii (little spotted kiwi). Its description in RNAcentral is "lncRNA (ENSAOWG00000002916.1)". Lineage: Eukaryota; Metazoa; Chordata; Aves; Apterygiformes; Apterygidae. The record is from RNAcentral.